GUUUUGGUUUGAUUCCAUUCGGUUCGGUUUGGUUGGGGUAUGUUUGGCGGUCAUUGCACGUCCCGGGUAACAUGCUGCCUACCCGCAAAGGAACCAGUUGGUGGCAGUAACUAAUGCAAUGGCUUUGCUUUUCCUGUUCACUUGCUCUUUACGAAGUAACGUAGUUUGCAUUUAAGGUCGCCCAAUAGCCUAAUGGCAGAGGGUAAAAAGCACAAGAGGGAAAAAAACGUUGUUCGUAGUGAUCUUCGAAUUGGUACCAUUUGUGGGUGGGAUGUAAAAUUCAAACAAGAAUGGAAGGAAUGAUGAGGUGUUAUUGUCAGCCAAAAUUAUAAAACGUGCAAAUCAUAUAUGCUUCUACCUUUCACCGCUUCGCUCGAUUCAAUGUGAAAAAACAUUCACAAACGUUUGAAAACUACCAAAACAUUCAAUACAGCAAGAGAGCGCGAUGUUUUUUCUAAGAAGAAGCGGAAAAUGUUAGCUGAAUAGCAAAACACAAAAUCUAUCAUCAAUACGUAUUAUUAUUCAAUAUUCAACUAAUUGAAGUAAUAGAUAAAUAGAAACAGUCAGAAUCAUAUGAUGUAAAAACCAUGUAUCAUUAAAUAACAUCAAACUGUAACACAGAAUAAUCGUCAUAUAUUGAAAUCAUGAUGUAAUAAAUGUAAUAAACGCUCAUGGAGUCAUUAUGAAAUAGACAAAAUAAUUCCCAACUAUUAAGUUAAAUAUUUCAACCAGCGGAUGUAUUGAAUGAGGACGAUGAAAGCUUUCGCUUUUUAAUAUACGAUUGCACUGUUCCACAUACAUGUUGUUGUU
Long non-coding RNA from Malaya genurostris, 810 nucleotides. RefSeq lists it as uncharacterized. The record is from RefSeq and is a predicted model, not a curated record. The transcript is spliced from 3 exons. Lineage: Eukaryota; Metazoa; Arthropoda; Insecta; Diptera; Culicidae.